UUUACGUGAGCACUUCCGCCGGACCGGAUUCUUGAAUAUAUUUCCUUCAGACGGGGUUUAUAUGAGCACAUCCUCGGAAUUGGGAUAAUCAGUACACUUUUCUAGUGAACCCAAGACCCUUUGGUGAGUGGCCCUGCUCUAACCACUGAGUGCACCGACAGAGCAAGCUCAUCUCCUUUUGACAACAUUCCUUCUUGGCCUGGUCUCGGGUCUCUGCCCUUUACGGAUGGCAGCCCACGACCCAGGUUGCCUGUGAUUGUGCCUCUCGUGACACUCCAGGUCGGUUGCCUGGCUCCUAUGCCCGGGUAAGUUCUGACUUUGCUGUGUCCUCCUCAUUCUUCAGUCAUCUCUCUGGUUGUCUUUUCCUUUUUCCUUUUCUUGUAAUGUCUCUCAUUGACAGAAAGCAUACCACUUUUCCCUGUAUUAUACCUACAUGGUUACAAAUCCUGCCCUUUACUCUUGGUCCUAAAAUGAGAUUCCUUCAGGAGAAAUAUCCUUGAGUGGAGCGAUUUCACUUUUUUUCAGAAACUACUGACCAUUGAGGAAGUGGCCACAUCACAGAGUGCAUACUGGAGUGAAACCCUAUAAAUGUGAAGAAUGUGGGAAAGAUUUUAGUGGAAGCUCAGGUCUUAUUCAGCAUGAGAAUCCACACAGGUGAAAAGCCCUACGAAUGUUAUGAGUACAGGAGGCCUUUUUGGGUAAAUUCAGCCCUUAUUCAACAUCAAAGAAUUCAUGUAGCAAAAAGGCUCUACCAAUAAGGGGUCAGUAACAACAAUUCCUGAGCUAUUCAGGCCUUAUUAGGGACCGUAUGAGUAUCCUGAAUGUAGGCAAAGCUUCCAUCAUCGUUAUAAAUUUCUCUGGUACCACAGAAUCUGAAUAAAAUUUGCUUUUAUUUCUAAA
This is a long non-coding RNA of Pipistrellus kuhlii (Kuhl's pipistrelle), 900 nucleotides long. RefSeq lists it as uncharacterized. Lineage: Eukaryota; Metazoa; Chordata; Mammalia; Chiroptera; Vespertilionidae. The record is from RefSeq and is a predicted model, not a curated record. The transcript has 2 exons.